This 441-nucleotide ribosomal RNA is filed under the name bacterium Urfm81. Its description in RNAcentral is "bacterial SSU rRNA". It matches the Rfam family "Bacterial small subunit ribosomal RNA", at positions 18 to 456 of the family's 1533-position model. The record is from RNAcentral.
UCUGGCUCAAGACGAACGCNGGCGGCGUGCUUAACACAUGCAAGUCGAACGCUGAAGCACCAGCUUGCUGGUGUGGAUGAGUGGCGAACGGGUGAGUAAUACGUGAGUAACCUGCCCUUGACUCUGGGAUAAGCCCGGGAAACUGGGUCUAAUACUGGAUGCUACAUGUCACCGCAUGGUGGUGUGUGGAAAGGGUUUACUGGUCUUGGAUGGGCUCACGGCCUAUCAGCUUGUUGGUGAGGUAAUGGCUCACCAAGGCGACGACGGGUAGCCGGCCUGAGAGGGUGACCGGCCACACUGGGACUGAGACACGGCCCAGACUCCUACGGGAGGCAGCAGUGGGGAAUAUUGCACAAUGGGCGAAAGCCUGAUGCAGCGACGCCGCGUGAGGGAUGACGGCCUUCGGGUUGUAAACCUCUUUCAGCAGGGAAGAAGCCACAA